ACGCUCGACACCUACUGGAGGCAGCAGUGGGGAAUAUUGCACAAUGGGGGAAACCCUGAUGCAGCGACGCCGCGUGAGCGAAGAAGUAUUUCGGUAUGUAAAGCUCUAUCAGCAGGGAAGAAAAUGACGGUACCUGACUAAGAAGCCCCGGCUAACUACGUGCCACAGCCGCGGUAAUCUGAGCGGGCUGGCAAGGC
This 197-nucleotide ribosomal RNA is filed under the name uncultured bacterium. RNAcentral describes it as "partial 16S ribosomal RNA". It matches the Rfam family "Bacterial small subunit ribosomal RNA", at positions 328 to 539 of the family's 1533-position model. The record is from RNAcentral.